CCUAAAAAGAAACAGAGAAAUCACUCACUUCACUUUUUUAUUUAACAGAUCAGAAAACUGAGGCUAGUGUGACUGUCAAAGAUUAUGGGAACAAGGUCGCUAAGAGUAAGAAGCUGGAGCCCGUCCAAUCCACUGGCACCAAAGCCAUGCACUUUGCAACUCUACUUCUCCAGGCUGUUCAUGAGAGGAGGAUGGAUGACAACAGGAUUCCAAAGAAAUUACUUUGUCCUGAGCUCAGAAGAGGACAAGGUAGACCUGAACAAGUGCCCAGCCUUUAAUUUCCCUGAAGAAGACCUUACCCAAGAGAGUUUCCUGCCAGUGGAAGGCACUCGGCAGAAAGGCUAGAGGUGGCGUGCGGACUGUUGCAGUAGGGCUGCAGGUU
RNAcentral lists this long non-coding RNA (382 nucleotides) under Homo sapiens (human). RNAcentral's name for it is "HSALNT0296269". Lineage: Eukaryota; Metazoa; Chordata; Mammalia; Primates; Hominidae. The record is from RNAcentral.